This 796-nucleotide ribosomal RNA is filed under the name uncultured Glomus. RNAcentral's name for it is "LSU rRNA". It matches the Rfam family "Eukaryotic large subunit ribosomal RNA", at positions 47 to 694 of the family's 3401-position model. Lineage: Eukaryota; Fungi; Glomeromycota; Glomeromycetes; Glomerales; Glomeraceae. The record is from RNAcentral.
UAAGCGGAGGAAAAGAAAAUAACAAUGAUUCCCUUAGUAACGGCGAGUGAAGGGGGAAAAGCUCAAAUUUUAAAUCGGCCUAGGUUUACCUAGUCGAGUUGUAAUUUGAAGAAGCGUUUACCGCAUCCAGGUCGGCCCAAAUCCUUUGGGAUAAGGUAUCAUGGAGGGUGAGAAUCCCGUCCGGUUGACCUCAGGAUGUUCUACGUUACGCUCUCUAAGAGUCGAGUUGUUUGGGAUUGCAGCUCAAAAUGGGAGGUAAAUUUCUCCUAAGGCUAAAUACAGGCGAGAGACCGAUAGCGAACAAGUACCGUGAGGGAAAGAUGAAAAGAACUUUGAAAAGAGAGUUAAACAGUACGUGAAAUUGUUGAAAGGGAAACGAUUGAAGCCAAUCGUACUUCGGGAAAUCAACUUCUCGAGUGCUUGUCGUGGAUGACGUUGAGCUUCACGGCCUUCGUUGCUUGCGUUAUGGUGCUUUUGAGGUGUACUUUUCCGUAGACAGUCAACAUCGAUUUUGAUCGUCAUAAAUGAUCGGAGGAAUGUGGCUCUGAUCUCGUAUCGGAGUGUUAUAGCCUUUGGUAGAUGUGACGAUUGGGAUCGAGGAUUGCAACGAAUACCCUUUGGGCUAUCCGUCUGACCUCUGAAAGUCGCUCGGGUGUUGAAAGCGUGCUUAUGACAUUUCUAGUUGGCGGUCAAAAGGUUAGAACGCGAUUACAUUCGUUAAAGGAUGUUGACAUAAUGGCUUUAAACGACCCGUCUGAAACACGGACCAAGGAGUUCUAGCAUAUAUGCGAGUGUU